Molecule: long non-coding RNA, 5915 nt
Organism: Bombus pyrosoma
Lineage: Eukaryota; Metazoa; Arthropoda; Insecta; Hymenoptera; Apidae
Exons: 3
Source: RefSeq, a predicted model, not a curated record
AAUCUUUUACUCAAAUAAACGACUUCGUUUGUUUGAAAUUAAACGUUUUAUCCACUAAAGUCAUUUCUUAUCCUAUGGAUAUUUUACUUAUUUUGAGUAAUACUUAAAGUGAUCAUAAUAGAAAAGUACAAAAAAAUUUUCCCAAAGACAAUAUUUCUCAAAAAAGUCUAUACCACUAUCACAUAAUAACCGUUCCGAUAAUUGUCCUACGCUGAGUUACACUUCCGGGAACAAUUAUUUUUUCAUAAUGGUCAUAUGCUAUACUUCCUGACAGCUAAAGCCUCUACUAGUUUCAAGGCCUUCUUUCACGGAACUAAUUGCUUUUACGAAAUGGUUGACAGUGCACAUUAAAUUUAGACCAUUUUCUAGAACGAAUGCCUCAAAAGAAGAGCCACGUCCCGAAAAUCUAUGUAUAGUUACUUAACUCACAAUGUGCUAUAGAAUAUCUUCUAAUUCUUUAUACAUACAUGUAUAUAUUAUAUAUAUAUAUAUGUCGAGUUAUCAUUAGAUUUAGGAGCGUGUAACGAAUCUUCAUUUGGACUAGCCAUCGUUGUUGUACAAUAGAGAUUAUAUUUACUGGUAUAAAUAUGGUUUUUACAGAAUUUGACAAAUAACGUACCGUGAUGAUUAGACACUCGAGAUGUUAUUGACAACGAUCUUAGGUUCAAUAACGAAUCUACGGUCAACGGGAUAACUCUUUGUUAAACGUAGAAUAUAUUUUGAGGCACAAAAUAACGUUCGCUGGAACGCUCGGUAUAUACUGCCCGUAAAGACAAUGUGAAACUCUCCAAGGAGAUCACACGAAUAAAAGACUGAUGAAAACUUUCCUCUCCUUACGAUCGCGUUCGUUUGUUGUAUAUUGGUCGGGGAUACCAACAAAAUUCCAACCGCCGUUGCUAGGCAGUCCCGCGUAACGGCGACAUUGUUUCUGCCCGGAGUUUGAUUGUUAAUACAACGUGUGUCCCAUAAUAUUGACACUUCUGAGACAAAACCACACAUGGCUUGAUUUGUCCUCGAGCCUGUGUGCCGCUACAACUAUAUUUUUUUAAGGAGAACUAUACAACUUACUCCGUACCUCUGUUAGGUAAAAACGUACAUGCCGUGACCGUGGCUACGUUCAGCAACCAGUUGUGUCACCUCGAGCCCAAGCCCAUUGUCACAAACAUAAUCGGAUUGAAUCAUAAACAAUUACUUCUAAGUUUUAUUGUUUAAACACAGCUAUAAUAAAUAUUCUAGACUAAAGUAUUGGGAAUCUUCCCGAAAAUUCCAAAAGAAAGGCCCCGCUGUCCUUUUCUCUCCGACAUAUAUAUAUAAUAAUUAGAACUAAUUCAUAUCUAUAGAUAACACUCUUCGCCUCGAGUCAUAUUUACUAUAUAUACAAUCAAUUAUCAAUAAAUCUUAAUAUUUAAUAGAUCGCUUUUUAAGACAGCUAUUCAUACUAUGUACAUACUAAUUAUUUAGUACUGUAACUAUUUAGUAAAAUAAAAUGUAUAUUUACAAUAAAUGUCUUGUAAUUUUUCUAUCUAUUUCCAGAUAGAUUUUAAAUUUUACUACCAAUAUUAUGAUAGUUGUACCUUAUUACAAUACUAUUAAAAUUUCAAAACCUUUUGUAUAACACAUAUUCAUAAAAAUUGUCUACGAUAAAUGUUGAAAUAGUUCCACGAGUCGCGAUACAUCCUCUAAUUGUAAGUCUAACAGUUUCCUCGAGUUCCAUGAACCUCUAAAGGCCAUAUUUAUAAUUCGCUUGCAUUUUAACGCAGAUACUUUAGAGCGCGUGUCAUUUUUAAAAAUGAACCCGUGUGUACGACCGCGUAGUAACACAUCAAAUAUAGGAAUUUCCGGUCCAUGCAUGACCGCGUUCGCAAUCGAUGUUAGAACGAAUCUGAACGAGGUAAACCACCCUAUCGCUGGCACUUGACCAACCAUUGGCUCAUAUGUUUAUUAACGCACGAUAGAAGAAUAUAACGCGCAUCUAAACGAUUUCAUAACGCAAUUGCAGCGAGGAGAGCGUCGUGCUUUGCAUGCCAAUCCGUCCUCGAGAUUUAACGCUGACAUCUUGUUGAGUUUAUUCGUUAGAUAUGGUCAGUUCAUUAUGUGGCGUACAGGAAGAUUCACGCGAUCAAUAGCGAGCUUGUCUUCCGAGAAAAGUGAUACGUAACGUAAAAUAUGGCGGAAAUUAUUAUUAAAAUAUAAAUUUGAAAAUUUUCGAAUGAUUACUCAGAGGAAACAUUUACCCAACAAAUGUGUUGAUAAACGAUUCUCAAGAAGCAUAAUUAUCACCUAUCCGCAAUUUUUAAAACGUAACAACGAUACACAUUUUUGUCUUGUUUGAUAAUUUGCAGACAAACAUAUAAAUUGUUGUACGUUUUCCCUUCUAUCAUUUGGAUACUCAACCAGAGGUGUCAUUAUGGAUAACGUACAUAACGAUUGUUCAUUUGUCGCCAUGCAUUAAAAAGCGUUAAUAACGCGAAACAUUUCUCAAGAUAAGAUGUCAUUGUUUCAAAUAUUCGAUACACGAACUGGUAAACGUAUCCGCUCCGGAAAUGGAGGCGUUUUGAAGAUUACUCCUACUUCUUUAAAUCGAACUAUAUAUCCUUUCAUGCAAACUACUUGCGACGUAUACAAAUGAAAACGUAUUGAAACUGAAGGAAGUAACAGACGUUUUGCACUGAUAAUCAGAAACUAUUAUAUGCAGCAACGUACGGUAACUCGGUUACGUUGAUUUGUACUUAUCUUUAACGAUGAUAUGGAUUACUCAUAAUAUAUGUACACAAGAUAUAAAAACUAUUUAAAAGCUUAACGAGCAGUAAAUUCACGUUGUCAGCACAACCGAGUCGUCACGUACGCUAGCGUAUAGAAAUUUCAAUCAACCACGUGUCCAUUUCAUAAACUGCUAAAACUUCAAAGAGUAAGAAAUAUUUUACACUACUCAUCAGAGAAUAACUAUGCUGACGAAUUACCAUGUAAUAUACGCUAUAAUGUACGAAAGUCUAAUUAUUUACACGUGUUGUUGUUACCAUGUUAAUCAAAUGCCACAAUGCAAGCUAUUGAAACAUGGAAAGAUAAUGAGAAACGUUUAAAGAUACGAUAAGUAAUAGACUUGCUACCCUGACGCACAGCAACUAUUGUAUACGCUAGUGUAGAAGAACUCGGUCAUUCAUACUCAGGGAUCGUUAUCAUGCUAGCGCGUCAAUGUUUCACAAUACGAUCCGAUGAGGCGUGUACGGACAAAGAGGAACGUUUAAAAACACGGCAAAAUGCACUGUAUCGUGUUCACCGAUAGAAUUAUUCAUGCUGGGUUGUUACGUUGAAACGAACGUUUCUUCUAAUUGCUAUAAAUUAUUCGACGUAACGAAGCUUCGUGAUUUCAACGGUGAUCUUUGGUGCUUUAAUAAUACAUCGAUAAAAUAAAUAAUUCAGCUGGAUUCUCAUCGCAGAAGACGAAGAAAUAAAAUUGAGAAACGUUUCGAGGAAGUUGGAAGGCAUAAAAUCCCGUUUCCGCUGAAAUUAUACUUCUUUCGUGUAUUGUUCCACUUCCUGGCGAAUUACCAUACCGUUUAUUAACAAACUUGGCCACCGUAGUUUAAGGAUCCUUGGUAGAAUCUCGAGGGCAGAAUAAAAACAUACGUUGCGAUGAUGAGUUAUGAAAAUAGAAUAAGAAGAAAGAAAUACAUGUAACUUCGAAAGCUUUAUAUUCAGAUAGAUAUUUAACUUUUCAGUUAAAAUUCUGAAAAUCUUUUUAGAUAUCACUUUUCAAUAAAAUAUAAACAUUCAUAUUUCAUACAUUGUCUUAUUUUCGGAAAUUGAAAAGUACCUCAUUUUUAAAACGCAUCACAUAUUGUCAUUUCAAAGAUAUUGUGCCGUUUAAUCAAUUUUAGAUUAAUAAGCGUCAAUAAACAUUUCCUUCGAAAAUAAUGUUCGUAAUUAAAAUGGAGUAUUUAACGAUUUUAAGAACUCGAAGAAGAUGAUCGUCGAUACCAUGAUAAAUAAUUCAACAACUGCGCACGAUUUCCGUCGAAGAAAUUUAGAAUCAUUUCGACGAAGCUAAGGACCGUAAAGCUUUACAGAAAUCAUAAUUCUUUUCCACGUUUACGCGAAAGAGUAAUAAACUAUUUAUUGGUGAAGCUUUCGAGUGAUUGCGUUUUAUUACGAGUUAACGCGGCAUUGUGUGUUUAACUACUUCGUCUAAACAAUCUUUCGUAUUACAGAAAAUAAUUAAGUGUAUCGUAACGAGAACUUUUGUUGAAAAAACAGAUCUUAAGAAAUUUUGAAAGUUAAGAUGUGUAUCCUUCCAAUUUUACUGAAGAGCUUCAGGAUUUUUAAUUAUAUAGCACUUCCAUGUAAAUUAUCUAUUCUUGAAAAUUAUAUUGAAUUGAUUACUCGUAAAUGAUAUUAUUGUAACAUACUACAACUCUGAAGCAGCAGAAUAAAAUGAUUUCAUCGGAAGAAGAUGAAAACAAUUUCUAAGAAUAAAGUAUAACAAUCCAAUCUGAGAAAAACAAAAAUCAUCGUUCUAUGUAAAUAGCACAGUGCUUGCCAAUAAAUUUCUCUUCUGAGUAUAAUAUUCGAGACUAUAAAUUAUCACGGUCUCCAUUAGGAAAACGAGAAGUCAUUCCGAAGAAAUUCGGAAACAGUAAAUCCUGCGAUCACUGAGGCAUCUUCGAGAAAACCGAUUAUCUUGGGAAUAACUGAGAAUAUUUCAUUUACUCAUUCUCACAUGACAAUUGUUCUUAUCUCAAAUGAGUAACCAAUUAAAGAUUUCGAAAGAUAAACUUCCAGUAAAAAAAGAAACGAAUUUAUUUAUCAAAUGGCUCACAUUAAGACAAUGAUUAAGAAUAACGAAAUUGCGUUUGAUGAUUUAUUUUUGAGAAAAUCGGCUUCCGAAACUUGUAUACACAUAUUUGACUAAUUUCUGACUGAAUGAAUAUAUUUUUCUUAUAACUUUUUAAUAAAGCAUUUGUAUUCCCUUAUUCUUGCACAUAAAGUAUGCUGUACAGUUGUCUAGAAAGAAAGCCUGAAAUAUAUGUAUUUCUUGGCAAAGAUCGAAACUGCACGUAAAUAAUGAAAUAUUCAUUAAACCAAGAAACUGUUCUUCCACGGCCAGUUAUAUCACUAAUUAUUGUACACAGCGUUACGUAUUUAAUUAAUUUAACGCGAGGAUAACGCGCAUCUCAUUAACGUUCACGGCAUCGAAAGUUAUGCACGACGUUGCACUUCUCUCUGAUAAGUUGCACGCUCAUUCUGAAUUUCAUAACUCGCGUAAGCUCGGGCACGGAUUAAUCGCGACUCGACAUUCGCGGAACCCACCACGAUCCAUGAAUUACUUAUCGCGAUCGCUCGAUCAGUACGAAACAUGUACAGUACAUGAGUAGAAACAUGUUCCGAACGAUUUCGAACUGUUUCAAGGUGAUAUCACAUUUGCCCUAUAUUCGAAUUUCUGGGUUAACAGGUACUCAUAGGAUCGUUACCAAUUCGUCGUAUCUUGGCACGAUUGUCGUGAAUUAAAUGUAUCAGCAAAUGAUGUCGAAAUCGUGUUUCCUUUUUAACUCAUUAACAUUAGAGCUAUCAAACUGGUCGAAAUGACUGGUAUUAGGUUUCUUGUUUUCGCAAUUACUAAAAACAUGCAAGUAUUUUUUAUAAUAUCGAUGUUUACUGUAACAUACUAGUAAGAAUAUAAUCUAUUAAUCUAGUAAUAAUAGUAUUGUAAUUGAUCACAGUCGUUGGAAGCUGUUUGUAUAAAGAUAAUUUUGCAAUAAUUUGUUUUACUACUCUUAAUCACCUGGUAUUAUGAAGCGUAUAUGUGCAAGUUAAAUUUCAUUUAAAUUGGUAUUUAUCACAAUCAUUUUUGUUUGCUUAUCGUUUAAUGUUAUUAUAUCAUUACUGUCGUUAUUGUGCCUUUAUUACAUAUUUACUUC